UGGCUCUUAGCUCAAUUUGGUAGAGCAGCGGUCUCCAAAACCGCCGGUUGCAGGUUCGAGCCCUGCAGAGCCAGCC
Molecule: transfer RNA, 76 nt
Filed under: Mycobacterium phage Rhynn
Lineage: Duplodnaviria; Heunggongvirae; Uroviricota; Caudoviricetes
Also listed under: 2 other names
Description: tRNA-Trp
Rfam family: tRNA
About the family: Transfer RNA (tRNA) molecules are approximately 80 nucleotides in length. Their secondary structure includes four short double-helical elements and three loops (D, anti-codon, and T loops).
Source: RNAcentral